This is a non-coding RNA of Alosa alosa (allis shad), 72 nucleotides long. The record is from the annotation of a RefSeq genome assembly. Lineage: Eukaryota; Metazoa; Chordata; Actinopteri; Clupeiformes; Clupeidae.
GCCCAUGUAGUUUAGUCGGUAAAACGUUACUUUCGUAAAGUAAAAAUCAGGGUUCGAUUCCUUGCUUAGGCU